AUUGAACGCUGGCGGCAUGCCUUACACAUGCAAGUCGAACGGCAGCACGGGAGCUUGCUCCUGGUGGCGAGUGGCGAACGGGUGAGUAAUACAUCGGAACGUACCCUGAAGUGGGGGAUAACGUAGCGAAAGUUACGCUAAUACCGCAUAUUCUGUGAGCAGGAAAGAGGGGGAUCGCAAGACCUCUUGCUUUAGGAGCGGCCGAUGUCGGAUUAGCUAGUUGGUGAGGUAAAGGCUCACCAAGGCGACGAUCCGUAGCGGGUCUGAGAGGAUGAUCCGCCACACUGGGACUGAGACACGGCCCAGACUCCUACGGGAGGCAGCAGUGGGGAAUUUGGACAAUGGGCGCAAGCCUGAUCCAGCCAUGCCGCGUGAGUGAAGAAGGCCUUCGGUGUAAAGCUCUUCGGUGGGGAAGAAAUUGCUUCGGUUAAUACCUGGAGUAGAUGACGGUACCCGCAUAAGAAGACACCGGCUAACUACGUGCCAGCAGCCGCGGUAA
Molecule: ribosomal RNA, 499 nt
Filed under: uncultured bacterium
Lineage: Bacteria
Description: bacterial SSU rRNA
Rfam family: Bacterial small subunit ribosomal RNA
Source: RNAcentral